UACAAGAACCGACGUAGUGGACAUCGCAGUUGCCCGUACCGGAUCGGGGGAUUGCGGAGUUGCAAGUAGAGCAGGGGAGCCCGGGCGUUCUCGGCUUCGGGUUUCGCCACGUGUGGAGCUGGAACGAUAGUGAUACCUCGUGCUAUAUCUGUCAAAGGCAAGAAGAAGGGAUUUAUUUGAGGCCCUACGACGUGGAGACUAUUGCAGGAACCCUGAUGAGAGGUGAUGGCCAAUGAUGAUGGCAAUGAGACAGAGAUAAGUGGAUCCAAGAAUAUUUAGGAUAUGAAUUGGCAUAACUUGAAUGAAGGAAGGAAGCCCAAUUCUGGGAAGAUGGUGGCAUAGGAGGACUCUGAACUCACCUUCUCCCACAGACACAACAAAUCUACAACCACCUGUGGAACAAUUUCCUCUGAGAGAGAUCUGGAAACUGGAUUAAAAGAACUCCCACAACAAGGGACAACACUGACAGGGGUGGAGGAGGCAGGAAGACCAUCAUUUAACCCUUGAUAAGGUGUGCCUGCAUCAGGCCCCACUUGUUACCCUAGUGCACAUUCAUCUGCUCAUCUAGGGAUAUGGUUCCUCAAGUGUAGGGUCCACGCCUUCUCCUUUAUUUCUCUCCCCAAACCUCAGGUCUUGGGCAAGCCCCACACUUUUGCUGGGUCUUGGUUUCCAUGUCGGUAAAGUGAGGAGGCUGAGCUAGAAGUUUAAACUGAGUCACAUUCCCACCAGCGUCCAGCACAGAGCCCGGCCCGCAGUUUCCAUCACCCUCCCCAUGGACGACUCCCAGCUCCAACACUAGAGGCCUCCAGGACUCCAGCUGACAUGAUGGAGUGUGUACCCUGCACGUUGCAGCCUCUUCCCAGGCUGGCUGCGGAAACGGAGCCUUCUCCAGGCAGCAGGGCUGCUCCGCUCAUGCAGAUCAAGUUGGGAGCCUCAUUAGUCACGUCAGAUGACAUAGUUAACACUUGGGGCAGGUACAGCCAGUUCAUCAAAAGCUCCUAUGUGCCUGGCUCCAUCACUGCAGCUGAGGAACUACUGUAUGUGGAGCAGGCAGCACAUCAGAGGAGCAGCGCCAGAGCACUUCCAAAUUGGUUUUGAUUAAUUGCAUAGACAUGUCUUUAAUUGGUGCCAGGGUAGCGGCCAGAGAACUUAUGGGAAAGCAGGAUGUUAUGCUUUCAUUCCCUGAAGUCCCAUAAAGCAAUGAAAGAUGAGGAACAGAAUCACUGCUCGUUGAAAAUUUAUCGACCAUGCAGACCUAGAAAAUACAAAUAACUAUCUGAAUUGAAACCUAACCUCAUUUUCCCAACUCAUUGGAAGGCAUGCAUGUUCCCCUCUGUGCCCCUGCCUGCCUGCUGAGAUGUACAACUGAGCAAAAGGUGUGAUUUCUAAGAAACAAGUGCUUUAGCCUGGAGACGGCACACUCAGCUUCCCCCAGAAGGGCGCGGAGGACUCUGGGAAGGCCUCUCCCCUCAGAAACAUUUCUCCCUCUGACCCCCAUCCUAUGAACUGGUAUCAGAGGCUGAUUCACUUCGGGUGAAGCAUUCAUUCACACAUUUAUUCUUUCUUUUCCACCCGUUGGAGACUUAAGACACAUGUAUUGAGUGUGUACACAUACAAAGCACUGUUCUGGUGUCAUGGGGAGUACAGGUGGAGUCAAGUGCAGACCCUUCUCUCAGGGAAAUGGCUAUCUAGGAGAAAAGAGGGGACAGGUCCACAGAUGAACUAAUGCAUGACAGGUGGCACUACAUGGAAGAUGCAUUGGGAUUUGGCAUCAAGAGGACUUGGGUUCAAAUCUUAGCUCUGAUUCUUAUUACUGAGCCACCUUGGAAGUCAUUUGGAUUCUCUAAGUUUUAACUACAGAACAGGAUGAUAAUACCUACUGCACAUGUCAGUGUGAGGCUUAUAAGAGUCAGCAGAGUUGAAAGGACCCAGCACAGGGACUGCCACUGAUCAAUAAACGGUUGCUAAUUCUGGAUAAGUGUCCCCAGGGAAGUUCUGAUGGAGUGCUAUGUGAGAGUUCACAUAUUCAAGGAACAAAUGUUUACUGAUUGCAGCCCCGGUGCCCGGCUCUGUGCUGCAUAUUAGUGAUUUAGCUAGGAAGCCCUGCCCUUGAUGAGACUGAGGUCCACGAGGCAGCAGCAAUGCUGUAGUAUGGUAAGAAUGGCAAAUUGUUACAGAUGUGCAAUAGAAAUCUACUCAGAGUCAAUGGGCAGGAAAGGAGACAGCGGUCACGUCUACCUGGGGAAAUCAGGAGAGACUGGCCUGAAGAGGCGAUGUUUGAGCCAGGUCCUAAAAGAUGAGGUUUUUGUUUGCAGAUAAAGCAAGAAAGGGUAUUCCAUGCUCAAUGCCAGAGUUUCCUUCUUUUUGUUCCUAGAGCAAGCAAAGGUUAUCCCCUGGGAUCUUGGAAUCUGCUCUCUUUGUAUGGAAAGUUCUUCCCCUUCCCCAAGAGGCUGACUCCUUCUUGACAUUUAUAACCUGACUUUCUUAUUUGUUCUUUUGUUUUUUGUAUGUCUCCCCCACUAGAAUGACAGGUUCAUGAGAACAUGAGACCUGGGCUGUCUUUUUCUCCACUCUAUUACAACCUCUAGGACAUUGCAUGGCAUAGUGUAAGUAUUCAAUAUGUGUUCGUUACAUGAAUAAAUAAAUAAACAACAGGAGGCACAUGAGGGAAUACUGCAAUCAAGGAACUAUAAGCAUGGUACCUGGUGCACAGCGGGCAUUGAAUUUUUUUCUCAUAAAAUUGAACAAUGAGGAAUGCCUGAAGCACUGGCCAGAGGAAUUGAGGUGGGAGGUAAUGGAAGAGGGGGCCUCUGGGCUGCAUCUGAAGGCAGAGAAGGAAGACAAUGUGAUGGGGAUGUUGGGGAGGGGAUCGGAAGGAUUAAGUCAGAUAACUGUUAAAUUCCUUCCAAUGCUGAGCUUCUAAGGAUUUCUCUCAAACAAAUUAUCUCUUGCCAUGCUUCCUGGUCCCCUCACUCACAUCCCUCCUUUCCACUCCACCCUGUCUGGAGGCUGUAAGGACCUCUGACACACCAUUUCCUGCCAACGUAAAUCAUGGACUGAUGUGUGACGCUCGUUCCCAGUUUUUACCAUCCCCCAGGAGGAGAUGGCCCCGUAACUCAGGGUGGAGGCCCCAAGCACAGCCAGCCUUUCCACAGGGUGGCAAAUAAGGGGGAAUUGUUUACCCACCAGCCCCUUUCUGGCCCUGCUCCCAGAUCAUUUUAUGUCCUCUGGUCCUGGAUCUGCUCCUUAGUUGGAUGCACCCCAGUUCACUUGCUGGAGCACUGAUGUGUGACUGUUUAACUGCCGCUGCUUCCUGUCCCAGGGAUCCUGGGCUUCAGGGAGCACGGAAAUGAGACAAGAAAGAGAGCUUUAUAUGAGGUAAGCUCUGACAGUAAUAACAAAGGCCAAAAACUAACUUACACUUACACAGUGCUUAACAAUUUACAAAGCCCUAGAGAACUCCUAUUCAUCCUUCAAGACCCUGCACAAAUGUUACCUCUUUUCAUGAACCCUCAGCUCUCUCAGGCAGAGCUAAUCCUUCCCUCCACACUUUGUAAAACCUCCAUUAUAGCCCUUAUUACCUUGUAAUAAAUUUGUUUGUAUAUGUGUCUCAUUUCCUCCAUGAAACCAUCAGCCCCUUGGGGGCAGAUCUCUUCUCUUCCAGUAAAACUCAUU
This is a long non-coding RNA of Diceros bicornis minor, 3675 nucleotides long. RefSeq lists it as uncharacterized. The transcript is spliced from 3 exons. The record is from RefSeq and is a predicted model, not a curated record. Lineage: Eukaryota; Metazoa; Chordata; Mammalia; Perissodactyla; Rhinocerotidae.